Molecule: small nucleolar RNA, 70 nt
Organism: Crocodylus porosus (Australian saltwater crocodile)
Lineage: Eukaryota; Metazoa; Chordata; Crocodylia; Crocodylidae
Gene: SNORD73
Rfam family: Small nucleolar RNA SNORD73
About the family: U73 is a member of the C/D class of snoRNA which contain the C (UGAUGA) and D (CUGA) box motifs. U73 is encoded within the introns of ribosomal protein S3a and contains a 12nt region of complementarity to a conserved sequence in 28S ribosomal RNA.
Source: Ensembl
AAUGAAUGAUGACAACGUGUUUCGGUCCCAGAUGAUACCAAAUGAUAAUACUUUCCCAUUUUCUGACAUU